AUUCACAGCUGAGUGGACUGAGACAAUGCAAAUUAAGUGCCUUGUCCAAAGACAAAGACAGGUAGCACGAGCAGGUCAAAAAACAGGUCUA
Long non-coding RNA from Thalassophryne amazonica, 91 nucleotides. RefSeq lists it as uncharacterized. The transcript is spliced from 3 exons. Lineage: Eukaryota; Metazoa; Chordata; Actinopteri; Batrachoidiformes; Batrachoididae. The record is from RefSeq and is a predicted model, not a curated record.